This 253-nucleotide ribosomal RNA is filed under the name uncultured prokaryote. RNAcentral describes it as "partial 16S ribosomal RNA". It matches the Rfam family "Bacterial small subunit ribosomal RNA", at positions 524 to 776 of the family's 1533-position model. The record is from RNAcentral.
GACAGAGGGUGCAAACGUUGUUCGGAAUCACUGGGCAUAAAGCGCACGUAGGCGGUCCGUUAAGUCAGGUGUGAAAGCCCCCGGCUCAACCGGGGAAUUGCACCUGAUACUGGCGGGCUCGAGGAUGGCAGGGGUGAGCGGAACUCCAGGUGGAGCGGUGAAAUGCGUAGAUAUCUGGAGGAACACCGGUGGCGAAAGCGGCUCACUGGACCAUAUCUGACGCUGAGGUGCGAAAGCUAGGGUAGCAAACGGG